UACGUAGGGUGCGAGCGUUAAUCGGAAUUACUGGGCGUAAAGUGUGCGCAGGUGGCCGCGCAUGUCGAGUGUGAAAUCCCCGGGCUUAACUUGGGAAUUGCGCUCGAAACUACGUGGCUCGAGUGUGGCAGAGGAAGGUGGAAUUCCACGUGUAGCGGUGAAAUGCGUAGAUAUCUGGAGGAACACCGGUGGCGAAGGCGGCAUCCUGGACCGGCAUUGACGCUGAGGCGCGAAAGCCAGGGGAGCAAACGGG
This 253-nucleotide ribosomal RNA is filed under the name uncultured bacterium. RNAcentral describes it as "partial 16S ribosomal RNA". It matches the Rfam family "Bacterial small subunit ribosomal RNA", at positions 524 to 776 of the family's 1533-position model. The record is from RNAcentral.